GACGAGCCACACAAACGUUAUUCGGAAUUACUGGGCUUAAAGGGUGCGUAGGCGGCGCGGAAAGUUGGGUGUGAAAUCCCUCGGCUCAACCGAGGAACAGCGCUCAAAACUACCGUGCUCGAGGGAGAUAGAGGAAUGCGGAACUUACGGUGGAGCGGUGAAAUGCGUUGAUAUCGUAGGGAACACCGGUGGCGAAAGCGGCAUUCUGGAUCUCUUCUGACGCUGAUGCACGAAAGCUAGGGUAGCAAACGGG
This 253-nucleotide unclassified non-coding RNA is filed under the name uncultured Pirellulaceae bacterium. RNAcentral describes it as "contains 16S-23S intergenic spacer region". It matches the Rfam family "Bacterial small subunit ribosomal RNA", at positions 524 to 776 of the family's 1533-position model. Lineage: Bacteria; Pseudomonadati; Planctomycetota; Planctomycetia; Pirellulales; Pirellulaceae. The record is from RNAcentral.